AUAAAAAAUAAACAUGAAAUAAACUUAAGAAUAACUGCGAAAAUACCUAGUCAUUACAGUUAUUACAAUUUCUAAGUUCGAGAAUUUUUUACUGUUUCGGUUGAAUUUAGAUUUGAAAUUUAAAGAAAAUGUUAUAAAAAAAAGUUACUACUACACAGCUUUCAGAUGCAAAAAACUAUGUUCAUAUUCUUGUAUCAUAUGUUCUGGAAGUGGUUUUUCCCAAUCUUCUGGGGGAGAUGAACGUUUCUCCCAAACAUCAUUAGCAUAAUGAUUUCUUAAUCUUUCCAAAUGCCUAUUACAUUCACUUUUAAUUAAUUCCUUCUAAAACACAAUUAUCGCAAUCUCGUUUCCAUUGAGAACAAUCCAAUGUAGUCCCGAAAACAAAAUACUGGUGAAAACGAGCUUUAAUACUAGUACAAUCCGAAUAUUCAUCCGAAUAAAUAUCGCAAUCCCUUAUCUAAAAUUUGUCAAAUAGGGGUUAGGGGGUUCCCAACACCAAGAGUGAGGGACAUGCCCAAAUUAAAAGACAGCUCAGGAAAUUAAUCAACGCUCCCUUGUUAACACAAAAAGAAUGAAAAUUUGGAAAAGUAGGUAUUACAAUAAAUUUAUGUAGGGUACCUAACUGGUAAGUUCUUUUCUUUUUCAAAAUAGCCGUUCUUUAUCUGCUUUAUCAGAUUAAAUAAAAAAUAAAAAGAAAUAAACAUAUGCAUUAAAUAUGUACAAAUGUAAACACAAGAAAAAAUUCAUAAACAGAAUUAUACCUAAUUUUAUUUGUAAAAAAAUAAAUACACAUUUGCAUGUACAAUGAUAUUUUAACAUAUUAUAAUGAAGGAACUGUAUACAUAAGUACCUAUAAAAGGUACCUAUAGUUACUAACAUAUAGUAUAAAGUAAUAUUUAUGUAUUUUCAUAAUUAUCCCCAUCAUAAUUUUUAAAUUUCGUAAUUAAUAGUACAAUUGUAACAAUAAUUAUAACUAUAAGAAUGCAUUCGUAAAAUUUGACGCUAUAUAUAAAGUCUUUCCACGAUAUCUUUUCCAAUGUAUCGGUCUUAUGGUGGGAAAUCAGCUCCUUGCAGAUUGGUAAUUUCCUUAUUUUGUAUUGUUCCAUUUUUGCUGUCUUAACAAUUAAUAAUUGUUUCUUAAAAUUUGCUGCUAUUAUUUCAAAUUCUUCUGUAUUAUUUACAAAGCACAGGGGCACAGCUUUAAAAGCAAGCCGCACCGUAAUAACUAUUUUUUUAUUUUUUUGUAAAUUAUUCUCUUGCAAACUUAGGACUAUCGGAACAUAUAUAAAUAUAAACAAAUAAAUAAUUGUUUUUGAUAUGCAUUUGUUCCAUAAUUCCAUUGUGAAUCACUAUGUCGGAAAUUUUUAUUCAAUCCAAGCAACGUUACCAAUUCAAUUCUCUUUGCACAAUGGGAGAAUUUGCUGAUAACUCCCGAAUUUGUAUUUUUGGCGCAAACAAGUUGAGACCUGUCUGUCCACUGUGCAUGAUUGCCAGAUCUACGGAAAUUUCUCUAGACAGAAAAUUUAAAGCCAGCUUAGGAAAAAGGGAAUUUUUAUUCAACUCUAUACAUUUAAGAAAUUAUUAUCUCUAACAAUAUUUUAAGCAACAAAAGCAAAAAAGGAGUUUUAUUAAUGUUAAAUGUCAGGGAAUCAUAACAUAAAAAUCAAAUAUAUAAAAAUGUAUAAACAUCAAACGUCAGUGAAGAUUUCCAACUACAUAAAAGCAAAAGCACGAUUAUACAUAUUGCCUUAAACGGUUUCUGUGAUAUUCCGUACUCUCACUAAAAUACUGUAAAAAAUAUCAAUCUAAAUUUAUUAUUGAAUUAUUGGGAAAUAAUGUAAAAAAUAUAGGGAAUAAAAAAAAAUAUAUCUGGCAACCCUACUCAAGAUUUCUUUUCAUUCAAAAAUUUGAUCUGUUUGAAGCGUUUUUGUUUUGUAAGUGAUUUUUUUUAACAAUCAAUAGUUUGAUUUUAAAUCGAAUCCAAAGAAAUUGUCUUAAAUUUAUACAAGUAAUUUAUGAUUGAAAAAAAAAUAUUAUUCCAGGAUUGCCAUAAUAAUGCUAUAUAUUUAUAUUAAGCGUUUAAUAGGACUAUUUGUUAUGUCAAUAUACAUAUCAUAUUUCGAAGUUGCAGAAUACGUCCAAAUUUGAUUUUUAUAUUUUAUGACGAAUAUUGAUAGUAAAAAAAACUUCUCAUUCUUAUAGUUAUAACAAUUUUUGGUACAUAAAAAAUACGAAAUUUUAUUGCCAGUACAAUAUAAAAUUAAUUCUUCAAUAGGACAGAAUUGUUAGUAAAUAGAAAGAAUAUUGUAAAUGGAUAAAUACUGACUGAUAUGAAAUGCCUACACAUAAAG
Agrilus planipennis (emerald ash borer) is the source of this 2351-nucleotide long non-coding RNA. RefSeq lists it as uncharacterized. NCBI's taxonomy places the organism in Eukaryota, Metazoa, Arthropoda, Insecta, Coleoptera, Buprestidae. The record is from RefSeq and is a predicted model, not a curated record. The transcript is spliced from 4 exons.